This 497-nucleotide ribosomal RNA is filed under the name uncultured bacterium. Its description in RNAcentral is "partial 16S ribosomal RNA". It matches the Rfam family "Bacterial small subunit ribosomal RNA", at positions 28 to 507 of the family's 1533-position model. The record is from RNAcentral.
GAUGAACGCUGGCGGCGUGCCUAAUACAUGCAAGUCGAGCGAACAGACGAGGAGCUUGCUCCUCUGACGUUAGCGGCGGACGGGUGAGUAACACGUGGAUAACCUACCUAUAAGACUGGGAUAACUUCGGGAAACCGGAGCUAAUACCGGAUAAUAUAUUGAACCGCAUGGUUCAAUAGUGAAAGACGGUUUUGCUGUCACUUAUAGAUGGAUCCGCGCCGCAUUAGCUAGUUGGUAAGGUAACGGCUUACCAAGGCGACGAUGCGUAGCCGACCUGAGAGGGUGCUCGGCCACCCUGUAACUGAUACACGGUCCAGACUCCUACGGGAGGCCGCCGUAGGGAAUCUUCCGCCAUGGGCGAAAGCCUGACGGAGCAACGCCGCGUGAGUGAUGAAGGUCUUCGGAUCGUAAAACUCUGUUAUUAGGGAAGAACAAAUGUGUAAGUAACUAUGCACGUCUUGACGGUACCUAAUCAGAAAGCCACGGCUAACUACGUG